Molecule: transfer RNA, 77 nt
Filed under: Phragmitibacter flavus
Lineage: Bacteria; Pseudomonadati; Verrucomicrobiota; Verrucomicrobiia; Verrucomicrobiales; Verrucomicrobiaceae
Description: Verrucobacter flavum tRNA-Ile
Rfam family: tRNA
About the family: Transfer RNA (tRNA) molecules are approximately 80 nucleotides in length. Their secondary structure includes four short double-helical elements and three loops (D, anti-codon, and T loops).
Source: RNAcentral
GGGCUAGUAGCUCAGUUGGUUAGAGCACCGCCUUGAUAAGGCGGGGGUCACAGGUUCGAGUCCUGUCUGGCCCACCA